AGCGGGAUGCUUACACAUGCAAGUCGAACGGCAGCGCGGACUUCGGUCUGGCGGCGAGUGGCGAACGGGUGAGUAAUGUAUCGGAACGUGCCUAGUAGCGGGGGAUAACUACUCGAAAGAGUAGCUAAUACCGCAUACGCCCUACGGGGGAAAGGGGGGGAUCGCAAGACCUCUCACUAUUAGAGCGGCCGAUAUCGGAUUAGCUAGUUGGUGAGGUAAAGGCUCACCAAGGCGACGAUCCGUAGCUGGUUUGAGAGGACGACCAGCCACACUGGGACUGAGACACGGCCCAGACUCCUACGGGAGGCAGCAGUGGGGAAUUUUGGACAAUGGGGGAAACCCUGAUCCAGCCAUUCCGCGUGUGCGAUGAAGGCCUUCGGGUUGUAAAGCACUUUUGGCAGGAAAGAAAUCGCAUGGGUUAAUAACCUGUGUGGAUGACGGUACCUGCAGAAUAAGCACCGGCUAACUACGUGCCAGCAGCCGCGGUAAUACGUAGGGUGCAAGCGUUAAUCGGAAUUACUGGGCGUAAAGCGUGCGCAGGCGGUUCGGAAAGAAGGAUGUGAAAUCCCAGGGCUUAACCUUGGAACUGCAUUCUUAACUACCGGGCUAGAGUAUUUCAGAGGGAGGUGGAAUUCCGCGUGUAGCAGUGAAAUGCGUAGAUAUGCGGAGGAACACCGAUGGCGAAGGCAGCCUCCUGGGAUAAUACUGACGCUCAUGCACGAAAGCGUGGGUAGCAAACAGGAUUAGAUACCCUGGUAGUCCACGCCCUAAACGAUGUCAACUAGCUGUUGGGGCCUUCGGGCCUUAGUAGCGCAGCUAACGCGUGAAGUUGACCGCCUGGGGAGUACGGUCGCAAGAUUAAAACUCAAAGGAAUUGACGG
This 881-nucleotide ribosomal RNA is filed under the name uncultured bacterium. Its description in RNAcentral is "bacterial SSU rRNA". It matches the Rfam family "Bacterial small subunit ribosomal RNA", at positions 38 to 916 of the family's 1533-position model. The record is from RNAcentral.